UUAGUACUAGAAGAACCAAUUUUGACUUGAUCAUCUAGUUUAGUUAAAGCUUUGGUUCUCUACUUUCUUAGGUGAGUUUUUUCUUUCUUGUACGUAGUUUCUUUAAGUUUAGAACGGGAAGCUAAUGGAAAAUAUGCUUUAUAAGAAGAGUCAAAUCACUCUACUGAAAUCUUCUUAAUCGAAAAAAUCUGCAAAUACGAGAGAACUCCAAAACUCGUUAGACCAAACUGAGAAAACUUGACCCGAUUAAAAAAAAAAAAGGAGAAAAAAGAAGAUUAAAUCAUGAUAUAACACUCAUAAAUUAUGACAUUAAUAUGAUAACAUUUUUCAAUAACCAAAGAUCAUGAAAGAAAGCAUAAACUAAUUCAUGGAAUAUAGAUAGCCAUCAUGUAAGAUAU
Molecule: small RNA, 398 nt
Filed under: Arabidopsis thaliana (thale cress)
Lineage: Eukaryota; Viridiplantae; Streptophyta; Magnoliopsida; Brassicales; Brassicaceae
Description: ATSL048490
Source: RNAcentral